Molecule: ribosomal RNA, 498 nt
Filed under: uncultured bacterium
Lineage: Bacteria
Description: partial 16S ribosomal RNA
Rfam family: Bacterial small subunit ribosomal RNA
Source: RNAcentral
GGAUGAACGCUGGCGGCGUGCCUACUACAUGCAAGUCGAGCGAACGGACGAGAAGCUUGCUUCUCUGAUGUUAGCGGCGGACGGGUGAGUAACACGUGGAUAACCUACCUAUACGACUGGGAUAACUUCGGGAAACCGGAGCUAAUACCGGAUAAUAUUUUGAACCGCAUGGUUCAAAAGUGAAAGACGGUCUUGCUGUCACUUAUAGAUGGAUCCGCGCUGCAUUAGCUAGUUGGUAAGGUAACGGCUUACCAAGGCAACGAUGCAUAGCCGACCUGAGAGGGUGAUCGGCCACACUGGAACUGAGACACGGUCCAGACUCCUACGGGAGGCAGCAGUAGGGAAUCUUCCGCAAUGGGCGAAAGCCUGACGGAGCAACGCCGCGUGAGUGAUGAAGGUCUUCGGAUCGUAAAACUCUGUUAUUAGGGAAGAACAUAUGUGUAAGUAACUGUGCACAUCUUGACGGUACCUAAUCAGAAAGCCACGGCUAACUACGUG